This 253-nucleotide ribosomal RNA is filed under the name uncultured bacterium. RNAcentral's name for it is "partial 16S ribosomal RNA". It matches the Rfam family "Bacterial small subunit ribosomal RNA", at positions 524 to 776 of the family's 1533-position model. The record is from RNAcentral.
GACAGAGGGGGCAAGCGUUGCUCGGAAUUACUGGGCGUAAAGGGCGCGUAGGCGGGAUGGCAAGUCGGUCGUGAAAUCCCUCGGCUCAACUGAGGAUCGUCGAUCGAUACUGCCGUUCUUGAGGAUUGCAGAGGAGACUGGAAUUCCCGGUGUAGCGGUGAAAUGUGUAGAGAUCGGGAGGAACACCGGUGGCGAAGGCGGGUCUCUGGGAAUGACCUGACGCUGAGGAGCGAAAGUGUGGGGAGCGAACAGG